UACUAACUGGGAGCUUUUCUCCUCUCCAGCACCAGCCGCUCCCCGCGCUGGCAAAGCUGUUACAAGCAGGUCCCAGCCCGCAGCCCCAACCCGGGGGAGCAGCGGGCGAGAACCAACACAGCGACACGGAGCAGCCGCCGUCCCGACCGCUGCAGCCGGCGACAAGGGGUGGAAAUCAUUAAAAACCCAUUAGCGAGCAAUAACACCACAACAGAACAGCUCCUGUCGCGGGCUGCCGGACGCGUGCAGCGCUCCGCGACCUCUCCCUACAGGCUGAAAAGGACUGAGGGAAGCGCAGAAAGACGGUCGGAGCUCAUCGCCUCACACCAGCGGCUUCACUCGCCGCCAGCUCCCGGGAGACGAGCGCUGAAGCAAAGGUAAAAUAGAAGCUAAGAUCCCCUCAGCCCGAGGCUGCGCGCAGCGAGAGGGGAGCCUGCACUCACCGGCUCCAAGGAGCAGCCCUCUCCCGAGCAGAGCGAGGAACGGGAACAAGAGCGACUCUUGCAAAGUGUUCACCUGCCCUGAGGGAUGGAAUGACUCAGCAGGCUAUCUGCAUUACAGUUGGAAUAUUGUUCCUGUUGGGUGAGGACUCUUUGUCAACAUCCUGUGCCUUGGCAUCUACAGUUCCUCUGGACUAACACCUUCAGCAGUUUUCUUCUCUACACAGCCAGCAGUGUGACAAGCACAUCAGUUCAUCACCAGGUUAUGGGGAAACUGAGUCACGGAGAGGAGAGUUCACCACUUAAGGAGGAUGGAAAGGGUGACACUGUGAUCCUGGUGGGCUGAACUCUGUCUGGGACACCUUUCCUCUGGAUUGCUACCUAUUCCUGAAAAUCUGUGGCAUGAAGGCAUGAUUGUCACACUCUGCUCACCUCUUCUAUAUGUCUUGUUGACCCAGGCUCCUGGAAGGUCUUUUGGAAUCCCUUGUUCUCUCCAGGACUUCUUACCUUUCUACACAAACUCAUUUGGAUCUAUAAAUAGAACUCCCUAGGAAGCCAGACUAGCCAGGCUUUCGAAAACUGUGCUCUGCUGAAUGGUCCAGGUCCCAAAACACAUCUGUAUAUCUUACAGAUGUAUUUCUUAAAGCAGAACAGAGUCUCCUCCCGCUUCCAAAUAUCUUCCUAGAGAUUGGUACCAAGUCACCAAUCUUGACAAACUGGAUUGUGACUGGUCCUCCAACAUAAUCAGUAAGGAUACAAAGACUCUCGGGGCUUUAAGGAAAGGGGGAGAAGAGACUUUAGACCUACGACUUGCAUGACUUCAAGAGCACUUUCUCACAUAUGCUGUUCAGAGAGCUGCCUCAUUAAACCGUUCCCUGAGGGAUAACGAGGAGAAAACCAACUGGCCAAUCACAUUAACCAGGAAUUGCCUCAAGAUGUGAGCUAAUAUUGCCCUCUGCUGACAGCUUGCUACAUAGUGCCAU
Melopsittacus undulatus (budgerigar) is the source of this 1423-nucleotide long non-coding RNA. RefSeq lists it as uncharacterized. The transcript has 3 exons. Lineage: Eukaryota; Metazoa; Chordata; Aves; Psittaciformes; Psittaculidae. The record is from RefSeq and is a predicted model, not a curated record.